AACCUGGUUGAUCCUGCCAGAGGCCUUUGAUAUUGGGAUUCGACUAAGCCAUGCGAGUCGAGAGGCUUUGGCCCUCGGCUGACGGCUCAGUAACACGUGGAUAAUCUGCCCUUAGGUGGAGGAUAAUCUCGGGAAACUGAGGAUAAUACUCCAUAGAUCUAGGAUGCUGGAAUGCAUCUAGAUUGAAAGCUCCGGCGCCUAAGGAUGAGUCUGCGGACUAUCAGGUUGUAGUCAGGGUAAAGACCUGACUAGCCUACGACGGAUACGGGUUGUGAGAGCAAUAACCCGGAGACGAUAUCUGAGACACGAUAUCGGGCCCUACGGGGCGCAGCAGGCGCGAAAACUUCACACUGUGCGAAAGCGCGAUGAGGGAAUCCCAAGUGUUUGCUCGUAAGAGUAAACUGUUUCUUUGUUUAAAACGCAGAGAGAGUAAGGGCUGGGUAAGACGGGUGCCAGCCGCCGCGGUAAUACCUGCAGCUCAAGUGGUGAUCAUUAUUAUUGGGCCUAAAACGUCCGUAGCCGGUUUAGUAAAUGCCUGGGUAAAUCGUGUAGCUUAACUAUACGACUUCCGGGUAGACUGCUAAACUUGAGACCGGGUGAGGCUAGAGGUACUCCUGGGGUAGAGGUGAAAUUCUGUAAUCCUAGGGGGACCACCAGUGGCGAAGGCGUCUAGCUAGAACGGGUCUGACGGUGAGGGACGAAGCCCUGGGGCGCAAACCGGAUUAGAUACCCGGGUAGUCCAGGGUGUAAACGCUGCUUGCUUGAUGUUAGUUGGGUUCCGAGCCC
Molecule: ribosomal RNA, 786 nt
Filed under: uncultured organism
Description: bacterial SSU rRNA
Rfam family: Archaeal small subunit ribosomal RNA
Source: RNAcentral